UACUCUGAUAAUCUGGUUGCUCUUAUAGGCAAUACCUCCAAAAUAUUGGACUCGAAAACCGAACUUUCAAGCGAUAUUUUUCUCGUGAAAGCACAGGCUCAAUGAACUAAAUUUUUAUUUAAUACAACAGAAACAAACACUUCAUACUAAACAAAAAGAAGUUGUGCUGAAUUUCUGUACAAAAUCCUCUAGAAGCGGCCAUGCGAUGACCUGACAAGCAAGCUGAGCGGCCCGUGCAAGGAGCGCUGAAAUUUUGAAACAAGCCGAGGAUUCUAAGGUUCCCGAUUUAAACCAACUUUUAGUAUCAGAGUGAACGUCAGUCACGGGUAUGAGUAAAUAAAAAAAGUGAAAAACGUAAUUCCUUGAGCUGAUACCGAAUGCAUUCGUGAAAAACAACAGUAUUGUGAUUGACGAGAAUGCGGAAGUUACGUAAUUGUCAUUCUCACAGAAACACCCGAUUACUCAAACG
Non-coding RNA from Schizosaccharomyces pombe (fission yeast), 469 nucleotides. NCBI's taxonomy places the organism in Eukaryota, Fungi, Ascomycota, Schizosaccharomycetes, Schizosaccharomycetales, Schizosaccharomycetaceae. The record is from the annotation of a GenBank genome assembly.